This 7499-nucleotide long non-coding RNA is filed under the name Lactuca sativa (garden lettuce). RNAcentral describes it as "long non-coding RNA (LSAT_LNC003631)". Lineage: Eukaryota; Viridiplantae; Streptophyta; Magnoliopsida; Asterales; Asteraceae. The record is from RNAcentral.
UAGGGAGAGCGGACAUUGUGUGUAUAGAUCUAUACGGGAUUGACAACCCCGCACCCAGACUGCUAGCUACAGUCCCGGCCUACCAAGCCAACGGGUGACAAAUGUCAUAUUUUAGACGCUUGUAGGGCGUCUGGUACUCUAGUCAGUACGGUUACGAGUAUCCCGGGUUACCUUAUAAUUCAUUGGCUUUAAGGUAACGGUAUUUCACCGGCAAUUUACAUUGUAUGCUGGUAAUUCAGUUUCAGAGUCACAUUGUUUUCACCUUACAAGACGUAACUUUCAUUUGAUAUUGUCUGGGGUCUGUUUUCUCUAUUUUGACCUUACAAGAUGUAUCUUUCAUUUGAUAUUGAAUGGGGUCUGUUUUUCACUGUUUUAGACCUUACCAGCUGUACCUUUCAUUUGGUACCUUCUGGGGUCUGAGUCUCUAUUUCUUAGACUGAACCAGGCGUGUCGUUUGUUCGAUACUCUCCUGGAGUCUAUGAUUCCUUGCCUUAGUCAGCAGUCCUCACUGCUGAGGCAUAUGUUAUUCCCUGAUGUCGUUUGCUUUCCUCAAUAAUCAAAUUCAGUAUUUUGAUAAUGAUAGCAAUUUAGGGAAAAUGACUUUUUACCACAUAACACUGACCAGUCUUGGUAGAAGGCUGCUUUAUUAAAGAAAAUAUAGGAUUUUCUGGAAAGAACUCUAAUACACAGUAAACACUUAAACUACUACUUUAUAAAGUUAUUUGGAUAAAUGUCACUAAAUACUUAUGAACUCACCAGCAUUUGUAAAAAUGCUGAUACUCGCUUUUCAAAUAACUUGUAUUCUCAGGUUAGCAUUAGACAGCUACACCUCCGGAGCUGUUGAUGAAGAUGGCUUAGUACCUUGCUGUACUUACUUAAAUUUACUUGUAUUCUUCGAUGUAUUGUAAUGUAACCAUGUAAAACUAUUACUAUUAAUGCAAUGUUUUGUUGUACUUUGAUUACUAUAAUGCAUGUGUUGUGAUACUUGACAUGACGUCAUCCACCCCAGAACGUUUCCGCCGUUCCGGUUUUGGGGUGUGACAGAUUGGUAUCAGAGCAUUGUUUAUAGUGAGCUAAGUAUAUCAAUUCAUAAAAGAUAUACAACCUAUAAACACAAAGGGAUAAAACACUCUGACCAAGAAUUAUACUUUAAAAUAUAACCAUAUUUUACCAAAGUAUAAUAACAUCCAAAAUCUAAACACUCGAACACAAGUAUCACAAGAAGAACAAGAAUAAAAGUCUUCGGAUGUUGAGCAUUUCCGUCAAACCUGGGCAGUUAUGUAAUCGUAAGCUGGAAUAAAUGUAACCUGAUCAACUACAUUUAUCCGAGAUGCGAUGAACGUGUGCUUGGGAGUGAUAGUGGUGUUGCAACAGGUCUGAAACUUACCAACUAGGAAUGCUAGAGCCAAACAUAAAGUUAAAAUACUAUAGGAGUAUUUUGGAACACUAAAAGAUUCACACUAAUCCCAGAAUCAUAUUCAGAAGAUAAGAAUCAAACAAGAAUUAAAAUACCAUAGGGGUAUUUUAGAAUCCAUAACCAACCUUGUGUGAAGAACUAAAAAGAUCCUUAUUGAUAUACCUACAACUACAGAGGGUAUACUCCCAAGGUUAUAUAUAAUAAGGAUCCCAUAGGCUAAGAAUGUGUGGUUUCGCUCUACUUCCUUUUCCUCGUUGGGAUGUGGAUAUAGAGUAGUAUCACAUAUUCGAAGGCCUAUCGGAUCUAAGUUAUAUAUGAUUUGUAUACCCUAUGUAAUUGUAGCGGGACUCAAUAUGGAUUAUCUAGUGAAAUGUUAAUAAUCUUUUAGGAUUCUUUAGACAUUUCCAUUUUCGCCCGAACCCUGUAGACAACCCUGUCCACUUCAGUGCUUGACAGAGGAGUUGAUGCAGACCCAGAAGAGGUUCAUUGAGAAGAUUUCCUGUUCGGAAAUAAAUGAACUGGGUCGAGACUAUUGAAUGCUCCAAGUACCCAUAUUCUUCUAGGGACAUCGGUGCGAAAUUUGCCUAAACUUCUGAGAUUCCCAGUUGCCCUUUAUGAGGUGAUGACACCAUAGUCGGAAUUCGGAAGCAAGGCAAAGUAGAGAUUCAAUAUGUCCAUAUGAGAAAAGAACCCUAGGAAACUACCCGAAGGAAACCAACGCCGAUUCCAGUCAAAGAUACGAGGCAGACCGAGGGAGCCAGUACAUGGAACCCGGGAAUUGUCUUUUCCUCGUGUUCGUCACGCUAAUACACCCAUAAAAUAAUACAAUUUAGUGAGUUAGUGGUUACACUACUCACGCUAUGUGUUAGGUAAAUCGUCGUUUCCCGUUGCCAGAUACACGAUUAGGGCGGAUCCCCGCAUCUCUAUUGAGAGAAUUUUAGCCAUCUGCCCUUGUGAGCCUCUCUUUCCGCAGUUUUGUUCCGAACCAUUCUCAAAUCUCUCCAGGCCGGAGAGUGAAACCUUUCCCAGUAUAAAGGUAACUUAGUAGGAACGACUCGCAUCUUAUGGCCUUUUUUUUCCGAUACUCAUACACCCACUUCGAUUACCAGGACUACAUCUUACGGAUGUAGGUCGACACUCAGAUGACUAGUACCCAAGGCACGGGAAAAAUUUAUGCCUAAUACGUUCAGGACAGAAAUGUCCAGGGUUAACCAUCGUCUCUCAUUACAUUGUAUUCCUUUCCGUGUAGGAAAACCAUGCCACCGAAGAAGCGUAACCAAUCCACAAGCAAGAAACCUACUCUCUUAUUCGAUGAAGCUACGUUCCAAGCUGCAGUCUCAGCAGCCGUAGCAGCUGUCAUGGCUCACCUGAAUGCUAACACCGCCAAUGUUAGCAAGGGCCCUGUCGGGAUUUCCAAUCCUGGCGAUGGACAGCAGCAACCAACACUUUCAUACCCAGUCACCCAAGAACCUUCACCGAACCCACUAAAGAGAAAACUCAAGAUUGAGGAGGGAAGUACCUCGGCUCAAGGACCUUCUGAAAGGCGACGAGCUGAGGCAGUCUAUACCCCUAUCAAUCCUUCCCUCCCGACCUCAAGAAGAGCAUACCUAGGAGACCUUCCCCGCUACAGCAAGUGCAACUACCAUCAUCAUGGUGCCUACCAGGAACUCUUAUGUGCUAGGUACAACAUGAAGGGGGCAUACUGCUCGUGUAUGCAGAACUCCGAUGGAGCGUAUUGCAUCGAUCACUAAUGCGGUGACCAAUCCCGUUUGUCACCUAUGUGGUGAAAUGGGACAUUUCAAGAAGGAUUGCCCAGCUGAAGGAAACAACAAAGACACAGGAGGAGCCUAACUCUACUGCUUAGAGAGAAGCAUCAAGGAACUCGUUAGAUUUUGGUACGUCUCUCGAUCUCGGGUAACUAAACUAAAAACAAUAAAAGACUAAUUUAAAUGUAAAUUCUUUCCAGUAAGGCGAAAGUCACAGCACUGUUAUAAAAUUCAAAAAUUCAUCAGGUAAAACUAUAAUGGCUAAACAUAUACAUUACGGCCAUGUAUAUUUAAGAUGGACAGACCUAGAGUGAGCGAAUGCCGCCUCAUUUCCUGUUCCUCGUUUGGUUGUGGAUUUAGGGCGGGGUCGCUCAGUCAACAGUCCUCCCCACCUUAAAUAUACAUGACUAGUAUAUGUGAGGCGAUUAUAGAAAUGCCUUGUGAGAAUCCACUCAUGAAAAGGUACUCUAUUCGGAAACACUUAGGACCCUCUAUAGUUCCGCGUCGACUCUAUCGGUCCAAGUAUCCGCGGUAGUGAUACAUAGGACGAAACCCGAGAUGCCUAGAACUUGUGUGCGCGUUCGGCGCAUGACUCUACCGAUCUUCAUUUUAUAUCAUGUCGGAGUGUGCCAACUUCGACAACUCUAUUGAUCAUGGUUUGACUACGUGCAGCCAUGUGUACAUUCUUAGUGCUGUGUAAAAGAACUUUCACCAUAGCCAUGUCGGCAAAUAAAGGUUCUCCCGAACCUAAACCUAACACAAAUAAUCAAACCUAAUGCGAUCCGUCAAUCGUCCCUCUUAUCUCAAACCUUCCGAAGUACCCAAAAGAGGGUACCCUAUGCCGUUGACCGACCCUCGUAGUCAGAUGGACACCAAAGUGAACGACACUGCAGAUACUCCAGAAGACGACAACCAUCCGAAGCGUACUUCAUAGUUUCCCAAAAAAGACCCUUCGCACCUCGCACAUCAGGUUCGUGAACCCAGAGAACAGAACUCAUGAGACUGACCACUAUAACCAGGUAUAUGCAUAAAGGUGGCAUAUAAUUGAGGUCAAAAAGAUUUAAGGUGUGUGUUUCCUACCUGUUCCCUGUUCCUCGUUGGGUUGUGGGUUUGGGGUGGAGUCGCAUAGCUGAACAUCCUGCCGACCUCAAUUAUAUACUGCUUGCAUACACCAAGUACUGGUGGUUAAGCCAAGAAUGAGCUCUACCACGAACCUCUUCGCAAAACACUUUCACCCUAUUCCAUAACAUAGGAGCCGGAGUCAAGAGAAUCACUGCGAGUUAAACUAGUAAAGUUCCGAGUGAUGAGACCCUAUACUCACUAGAAUUGACCUAGACCGAGGAAACUCAGAACCUUCGGAAGAGUAGUUGCAGUAGAUGCUCUUACUACUCAGGCACCUUGCCCACCCUGUUAUAGACAGGUAGUGCCUAUCACCCUCCACCCUCUCGUAUGGAGGAAAUCGUCGUCGCCCUGUAGACGAUGAAAUACACUCUCCGAAGUGAACACUAGGAUACCGAGAACCACAGGAUAACCACCGCAACCAAGAAUACUCGAUCAAAGUGCGAAAGUAGUUGCGUUAAGCCUCAAGUCCCGAAUCCCGAAGAGAUUAUAUACUUGACACUAGCCUUGGUGUUAGUCGCGGGAUUAUGCAGGAGCAUGUGCUUUCCGCACUAGAUCAAACCAAAGUCUUAGAGGUUAAUUGGACUAUUAGGUGUUCCACGGAUACUAUCUCAUGCAGAAAUAGUAGAACCACCUCCUGAGAUAGUCCAACACUCGUCUAGUGAAACCCUAUCUCCCCGACCCUCAGGGUUUCCGUAUCUCAAUACUUCUUGGUGCAGGUCCAUUCUGCACAAGCUUGAGGUAGACACUCUAUAGCAAACAGAUAACCAUAGUCACGCAACCCACUCGACGAUCCAGAAACUCUCUAUCAGCCAGUUGACAGGAAACGCGAAACCGAAAGACCACUCAGCAUUCCUAAGAAACAACCUAAAGGACUACACACACAGUACGAGUGAGAACGUUAGGAACUUCGGAAUGGCGAUCGCGCCAGUAAUGAUCUUGCCAUAGAAGUACACUAUGUUCUGAGUACUGAAAAGCUCUACCAUUCCGAGAGCUUAGGACCAUAUGAGAAUUCUCAUGGAGACUUGGUCCAACCCUUUUCAGGCCGCUACUACNCUUCGGAUAUGCCACAAGACUCACACCCAAUCGAUCCACUUCGUAGACGUGAUAUGCAAUUGCCCGAAUUCACUCUUCGUGCCUCACUCAUCUUGAUAGAAUCCAUUGAGAACCCUAACCUUGUAGAUACACCAGUCGGAACCCACUAGCUACACGAGACGAAAUCCGCAUCCCGUACGUGAAGGCAUGUUGGACUGACAAACACAGACCAGAGAUCACUUGGGAAUGCGAGGACAACCGUAUAGGAAGUACUCUCAUACCUCUACUUGGCCAUUCAUACCUACUUCCUUGCUUAGACCUGAAUUUCGGGACGAAAUUCCCUCUAACGGGGGGAUGAUGUGACAACCCAAGUUGUUCCGUUACAUUUCCCCGUUACCGUUAACGGAAUAUUCCAGUUUAUAAAAGUUCCGUUAAUUAGAGGUCGUCAAUUUAAUAAACAUUCCAUUUGUUUACAUUUAAUAUGCCGUUAAGUCGUGAUAAAAAGAAAUAAAAACACAUAACACACAUUUCCAUUUAAUUGGAAAAAGUUAGUUUUUAUUAUUAUUACCACUAAAUCGGGUGCGACCAAAAGCCCCGUUUAACGGCAGUAUCGGGUAGAAUACCACUGAGCCCUGACUCGAACCCCUAUUUAAAGGAGAUUGGAGUUCAUUAGAGACUUUUUAAACUCCCUAAACACUCUCUCUCUAGACCCGUUUUCGCCCCAAAUCCGCAACCAAACGCUUCCAAAUCGUCAUUGAGUGUGUUCGAGUCCUUAUGUGACGCCGAACGCCCAAACAGCACCUUCGUCGGACCUACUUACACCAGGUGAGUUCAUACCCUUGAAUGAACCUUUUAAAUGUUUUUACAUGUUUUAGAGGGGGGGAAUACAAGUUAAACAUGCCAGUUAUCAUAUCAAUCACAUGUGAUUGAUAACCCACAUGCACAAGAUUUUACCACACUGUACACUGUUUUACCGAGUAGAACACUAUAGUGGAGUUCAAAAAGGUUUUCAAUCAUUUCAAAACUCUUACUUAUACUGUUUUACCUAAAUUCAUUUUAAACUGGUUUAUGAAGGUUUCCAAAGGUUUCUAAAGGUUUUCACACUUAUUUUACANUUACCAAAGAAUACAAAAUGCGAUUUUCCUAAAUAUAAAGGUUUUCCUAGGUUUUCAUCAAAUUUCUCUUUCACGUCGAAUACUUAUACUUGUUAGUUACCGCUGCUUCGCUUUCACUUAUUGCAAACUCCUACUUGAUAACGCUUUCACUUCCUGAUACUCUUAUACCUGUUAUUGUCUCUAUUUCACUUAUACUUGUAGUCGCUUAUACCUGAUAGACGCUCUUACUUCACUUAUUGUCGUCUCUACUUUGUGAUACGCUUAUACUUGUUCGACACUCCUACUUCACUUGCGACCGCUCUUACUUCACUUGUUCGACACUCCUACUUCACUUGCGACCGCUCUUACUUCACUUGUUCGACACUCCUACUUCACUUGGGAUCGCUCCUACUUCACUUGUUAAACACUCCUACUUCACAAGAAUCACUUCUACUUGAUACACACUCAGUCAUAGUUAGAUAUAUGUCUGUACUUAUAUAGGUGCAUAUAAGUAAUGAUUGAAAGACUUAGGAAGGCUCGUCCGCCCAAUUUCCUUUUCUUCGUUGAGAUGUGGUCUGGUGGGAUCAGAUGGCCGUCCGAAGGUCGUUUGAUUCAUUAGUUAUAUAUUAUGUACAUGAGUAUGGACAUACAGGAAUUCUUUAUUCAGUUCAGUUGAGAGUCUCUACCUCUAGUCUACACUUACAUUAGAAACACACUACCCACUAUUUGGAAGUCUCUACCCACUAUUUGGGAUGCAUCUUCAGCACACGGCCUUCUCUGUCGUCUAGAUGGUAACCAGAAUCUCAUGUAGGGAGAGCGGACAUUGUGUGUAUAGAUCUAUACGGGAUUGACAACCCCGUACCCAGACUGCUAGCUACGGUCCCGACCUACCAAGCCAACGGGUGACAAAUGUCAUAUUUCGGACGCUUGUAGGGCGUCUGGUACUCUAGUCAGUACGGUUACGAGUAUCCCGGGUUACCUUAUAAUUCAUUGGCUUUAAGGUAACAGUAUUUCACCGGCAAUUUACACUGAAUGCUGGUAAUUCAGUUUCAGAGUCACACUCUUUUG